CUGCCCCUGAGGAGGGUGGAGAAGCAGAAACAGAGUGUGAUAAACUGGUUGCAGCCCCUCUCUGCCAUCCUGCUGGGGGAGAGGGAGAGAAAACUGUGAGCGAAGCUGUGCCCAGGAAGAAGGCAGGAGUGAAGGAAAGGAAUUGUUUAAAAUUUGAAUCAUAACCAUUCAUAACACGGCUCAGAAAGGAACAAUGUCAUGUUGACUGAGAACUGGCUAAAGGAUCAUAAAAGGAGGAAUUCUCUCCAGCCUACUAAGUCAUCAAUAAAUAUUCUUGGAGUAUACAGAUCUGAAGCACUCAGGGAACACUCAAAACCUUGGUUUGGCUUUCUUUUCAUCUCUACUGUUUCUCUUUCUGCAAAGGGAGGAUUUGUUCCAUUCUCAACAGAAUAAAUUAAUAAAUAACAGUG
Long non-coding RNA from Passer domesticus (house sparrow), 410 nucleotides. RefSeq lists it as uncharacterized. The transcript has 3 exons. The record is from RefSeq and is a predicted model, not a curated record. NCBI's taxonomy places the organism in Eukaryota, Metazoa, Chordata, Aves, Passeriformes, Passeridae.